Molecule: ribosomal RNA, 497 nt
Filed under: uncultured bacterium
Lineage: Bacteria
Description: partial 16S ribosomal RNA
Rfam family: Bacterial small subunit ribosomal RNA
Source: RNAcentral
GAUGAACGCUGGCGGCGUGCCUAAUACAUGCAAGUCGAGCGAACAGAUAAGGAGCUUGCUCCUUUGACGUUAGCGGCGGACGGGUGAGUAACACGUGGGUAACCUACCUAUAAGACUGGAAUAACUCCGGGAAACCGGGGCUAAUGCCGGAUAACAUUUAGAACCGCAUGGUUCUAAAGUGAAAGAUGGUUUUCCUAUCACUUAUAGAUGGACCCGCGCCGUAUUAGCUAGUUGGUAAGGUAACGGCUUACCAAGGCAACGAUACGUAGCCGACCUGAGAGGGUGAUCGGCCACACUGGAACUGAGACACGGUCCAGACUCCUACGGGAGGCAGCAGUAGGGAAUCUUCCGCAAUGGGCGAAAGCCUGACGGAGCAACGCCGCGUGAGUGAUGAAGGUCUUCGGAUCGUAAAACUCUGUUAUUAGGGAAGAACAAAUGUGUAAGUAACUGUGCACGUCUUGACGGUACCUAAUCAGAAAGCCACGGCUAACUACGUG